RNAcentral lists this transfer RNA (108 nucleotides) under Hippoglossus stenolepis (Pacific halibut). RNAcentral describes it as "tRNA-Arg". It matches the Rfam family "tRNA". Rfam says of the family: Transfer RNA (tRNA) molecules are approximately 80 nucleotides in length. The record is from RNAcentral. Lineage: Eukaryota; Metazoa; Chordata; Actinopteri; Pleuronectiformes; Pleuronectidae.
GGCUCUGUGGCGCAAUGGACAGCGCAUUGGACUUCUAGCAUCAAGCAUUCUAACUUCAGCACUGAGGAAGUGAUUCAAAGGUUGUGGGUUCGAGUCCCACCAGAGUCG